CGGAGGUGAUGUCAAACACCACCCUGACCCCCUGUGGAGGCAAAAGACUGAUUUAAUGAGGCUGAUCC
Small nucleolar RNA from Calypte anna (Anna's hummingbird), 68 nucleotides. The record is from RefSeq and is a predicted model, not a curated record. NCBI's taxonomy places the organism in Eukaryota, Metazoa, Chordata, Aves, Apodiformes, Trochilidae.